This is a long non-coding RNA of Rhipicephalus microplus (southern cattle tick), 199 nucleotides long. Lineage: Eukaryota; Metazoa; Arthropoda; Arachnida; Ixodida; Ixodidae. The record is from RefSeq and is a predicted model, not a curated record.
GUCCUUUUGGAACAGAGGACAUCUUCUCGCACAUCUUUGGUGGGAGCCCUUUUGGAGGAAUGUUUGGCAUGGGUGGGUCAAGUGGUCGGAGGCGCCGUCAACGAGGUGAAGACACAAUUCACCCUUUGAAGGUGUCAUUAGAAGAUUUAUACAAUGGUAAAACAGUGAAACUUGAAGUGGACCAUACUGUUAUUUGCAG